UUCAAAUCUAAGAGAUAUUUCUUAAACUAAACAUCACUCCACCCUUGGCUAUGGAAUCCAUCUCAAGCGGUUUGUUGUUAUUAUUAUUAUAUUUCACGUUGAGUCUCAUCUUGACUCACUCCGACUCAGCACCACAAGCCUUCCGUCGUGACCCCGGCCACCCUCAGUGGCAUCAUAGCGCUUUUCAAGAUGUCCGUGACAGCGUCCGAUCGGACGUCCGCCGCAUGCUCCACACUCGCGCCGAGGUUCCAUUUCAGGUUCCGUUGGAGGUGAAUGUAGUGCUCGUAGGUUUUAAUGGUGAUGGAGGGUAUAGGUUUGGUAUAGAUUCGCAUAAAUUAGAAGAGUUUUUGAGGAUCGGCUUCCAAACUCACAGGCCUUCAUGUAUGGAGACUGGCGAGCCUCUUGAUAUUGAACAUCAUGUCGUUUUUAAUGUUUUUCCGGCUGGGCAGCCGGAACUGAUUGCGCUUGAGAAGGCAUUGAAAGAGACUAUGGUUCCUGCUGGGAAUGCAAGAGAAACUGAUUUUGGAAGGGAGGUGCCAUUGUUUGAGGUAGAAGCAGCGACCGUGGAACCAGUAUUUCACAAACUAUAUUCCUACAUAUUUGAUUUGGAUAAUUCAGAGUACUCUGCCAAAGAUAAUGACAGACCUGCUCCUAAUGCAAUCUUUCUUGUAAAUUUCGAUAAGGUGAGAAUGGAUCCUAGAAACAGGGAAAUUGACUUAGACAAUUUGAUGUAUGGAAAACUUAAGGAAUUGUCUGAUGAAGAUUUGAGGAAACAAGAGGGAGAUUACAUUUAUCGGUAUCGGUAUAACGGAGGAGGAGCAACUCAAGUUUGGCUGAGUUCGGACAGAUUUGUCGUGAUCGACCUGUCAGCAGGCCCUUGCACAUAUGGAAAGAUUGAAACUGAAGAGGGAAGUGUCAGUUCCAGAACACUGCCACGCAUACGGAACAUGAUGUUUCCAGGAGGUGUAGGUGCUGCUGGUGAUCAUUCUACUCGUGAUACUUUUGUUGGACAACUUGCUGCUUUAAUAUCAACCACGGUAGAGCAUGUUGUGGCUCCAGAUGUUAGGUUUGAGACUGUUGAUAUGACAACAAGAUUGCUCAUACCAAUCAUUGUUCUACAUAAUCAUAACAGAUAUAAUGUUAUUGAGAACGGUCAUAAUUACAGCAUCAAUGUUGAAGAAAUUGAAUCAGAGGUGAAGAAGAUGGUUCAUGAUGGACAAGAAGUUGUGAUUGUCGGUGGUUCAUAUGCUUUACAUAGUCAUGAGAAGUUGGCUAUCGCCGUAUCAAAAGCAAUGCGGGGUCAUUCCUUGCAAGAAACUAAAAAGGAUGGACGUUUCCAUGUCCACACCAAGACAUUUCUGGAUGGAGCUGUACUUAAAGAAGAGAUGGAACGGUCUGGUGAUGUGCUUGCUGCAGGUUUAGUUGAGAUUGCUAACCCAGCUCUUUCAAGCAAAUUUUUCCUUCGACAGAACUGGAUGGACGAAUCUAACGGUUCAAGUGAUUCAAUUCUUAAGCAUAAACCUCUUUGGGCCAGUCAAACCUCUAAUAGUGUCAAGAAGAGGAAAAAGCAAUCGCAAAAGAAACAAGGAGAUCUGCAACGGACUUAUGGGACAAGAGUUAUUCCUGUCUUUGUGCUAUCGCUGGCUGAUGUGGAUCCAAAUCUUAUGAUGGAGGACGAAAGCCUUGUUUGGACAAGCAAAGAUGUUGUGAUUGUUCUCCAGCAUCUAAAUGAAAAGAUACCUCUGAGUUAUGUUUCGGAGAUAGAGCGAAGGCAUGCCUUUCCAUCACUUGCACAGCGCCACAUAUUGGCAGGACUUGCUUCUACUGUGGGCGGGUUGAGCGCACCAUAUGAAAAAGCAUCUCAUGUGCAUGAAAGGCCAAUUGUAAAUUGGCUCUGGGCGACUGGUUGCCACCCAUUUGGACCAUUCUCUAAUACUUCUAAAGUCAGUAAAAUGCUACAGGAUGUAGCCUUGGUAAGAGGAACACAAUUUAUGCUCGUGUGGAUUCUGCACUGCAUAGAAUUCGUGAAAUGUCAGAGGAUGUCCAAACCUUUGCUGCGGAGUAUCUAAAAACCCCUCUUGGUGAACCUGUCAAAGGCAAGAAGAACAAGACAACAACCGAAUUGUGGUUGGAGAAGUUCUACAAAAAGACGACGAACUUGCCAGAACCUUUUCCACAUGAAUUAGUUGAACGGUUGGAGAAGUACCUAGACAGCCUUGAGGAACAGCUUGUAGAUCUGUCUUCCUUGUUAUAUGAUCACCGGUUACAAGAAGCACAUUUGAACAGUUCCGAAAUUCUUCAAAGUGCUCUUUUCACCCAUCAGUAUGUUGAAUAUGUUUUGACCUCUGAGAGAGAGAAAAUGAGAUGCUGCGACAUUGAAUACAAAUAUCCUGUGCAGUCUUCACAGACUUAUAUCUACGGAGGGAUUCUUCUUGCUGGGUUCUUUGUGUAUUUUGUUGUCAUUUUCUUUUCUAAUCCUGUCCGUUGACGAUACGAUCCCAACCAACCGAUGAACUGUUCUCAAUUUUUGAAGGCACUGAUGUUUUGCUGUGGGUGGGGUAAAGCCCUGACAAGUAUAAUGUUGAAAAGAAAUUGACUAAUCCUUUUGUAGUUUAAAGCACAAUAUGAUAGAUUACAGCUUCUCUCAA
Molecule: RNA transcript, 2648 nt
Organism: Populus euphratica (Euphrates poplar)
Lineage: Eukaryota; Viridiplantae; Streptophyta; Magnoliopsida; Malpighiales; Salicaceae
Exons: 16
Source: RefSeq, a predicted model, not a curated record